This 632-nucleotide ribosomal RNA is filed under the name Bacillus sp. (in: firmicutes). RNAcentral's name for it is "bacterial SSU rRNA". It matches the Rfam family "Bacterial small subunit ribosomal RNA", at positions 51 to 662 of the family's 1533-position model. The record is from RNAcentral. Lineage: Bacteria; Bacillati; Bacillota; Bacilli; Caryophanales; Bacillaceae.
AUACAUGCAAGUCGAGCGGACAGAUGGGAGCUUGCUCCCUGUAUGUUAGCGGCGGACGGGUGAGUAACACGUGGGUAACCUGCCUGUAAGACUGGGAUAACUCCGGGAAACCGGGGCUAAUACCGGAUGCUUGAUUGAACCGCAUGGUUCAAUUAUAAAAGGUGGCUUUUAGCUACCACUUACAGAUGGACCCGCGGCGCAUUAGCUAGUUGGUGAGGUAACGGCUCACCAAGGCAACGAUGCGUAGCCGACCUGAGAGGGUGAUCGGCCACACUGGGACUGAGACACGGCCCAGACUCCUACGGGAGGCAGCAGUAGGGAAUCUUCCGCAAUGGACGAAAGUCUGACGGAGCAACGCCGCGUGAGUGAUGAAGGUUUUCGGAUCGUAAAACUCUGUUGUUAGGGAAGAACAAGUACCGUUCGAAUAGGGCGGUACCUUGACGGUACCUAACCAGAAAGCCACGGCUAACUACGUGCCAGCAGCCGCGGUAAUACGUAGGUGGGCAAGCGUUGUCCGGAAUUAUUGGGCGUAAAGCGCGCGCAGGCGGUUUCUUAAGUCUGAUGUGAAAGCCCCCGGCUCAACCGGGGAGGGUCAUUGGAAACUGGGGAACUUGAGUGCAGAAGAGGAGAGU